GCCAGGCAUGGUGGCUCAUGCCUGUAAUCCCAGCACUUUGGGAGGCUGAGGUGGGCGGAUCACCUGAGGUCAGGAGUUCAAGACCAGCCUGACCAACAUGGAGAAACCCCGUCUCUA
Molecule: unclassified non-coding RNA, 117 nt
Organism: Pongo abelii (Sumatran orangutan)
Lineage: Eukaryota; Metazoa; Chordata; Mammalia; Primates; Hominidae
Rfam family: Metazoan signal recognition particle RNA
About the family: The signal recognition particle (SRP) is a universally conserved ribonucleoprotein. It is involved in the co-translational targeting of proteins to membranes.
Source: Ensembl